Cyphellophora europaea CBS 101466 is the source of this 120-nucleotide ribosomal RNA. The record is from Rfam. Lineage: Eukaryota; Fungi; Ascomycota; Eurotiomycetes; Chaetothyriales; Cyphellophoraceae.
GCAAUCGACCAAAGAAUAGAGAAAACAGCGGUUCCCGUCAGCUCACCUGCACUCAAGCUCUGUGUUGCCGAAUUGGUAGUUGAGUGGGUGACCAUCAACGAAUACUUGGUGUUGAUUGUU